This 253-nucleotide ribosomal RNA is filed under the name uncultured bacterium. RNAcentral's name for it is "partial 16S ribosomal RNA". It matches the Rfam family "Bacterial small subunit ribosomal RNA", at positions 524 to 776 of the family's 1533-position model. The record is from RNAcentral.
GACGAACGGCGCAAACGUUAUUCGGAAUUACUGGGCUUAAAGGGUGCGUAGGCGGUGCAGAAAGUUGGGUGUGAAAUACCUCGGCUUAACCGAGGAAUUGCGCCCAAAACUACUGUGCUCGAGGAAGAUAGAGGUGAGCGGAACUUAGGGUGGAGCGGUGAAAUGCGUUGAUAUCCUAAGGAACACCGGUGGCGAAAGCGGCUCACUGGAUCUUAUCUGACGCUGAGGCACGAAAGCUAGGGUAGCGAACGGG